This is a non-coding RNA of Cinara cedri, 413 nucleotides long. Lineage: Eukaryota; Metazoa; Arthropoda; Insecta; Hemiptera; Aphididae. The record is from the annotation of a GenBank genome assembly.
UACCCUCACAUUUUCGUCGCAUUUCCCACGGAAAUAGAAACUAAUAUUGUAUCGUAGUCUAUUCCGCCCGUUAUAUAAGAUAUUAUCAUAUUACGUAUCUAUUUCCCGCAAGUUUUUGAUAUUUUAAUGACUCCCUCUGAAACACAGGUGAACAUUUAAACUUGGGUGUUAACUGCUGGGCCCGAUUCGCUACGUGUAGGCCGGGCUUAAUUUGGCGCCCUGGCGGAAGGUUUAGGAGUCUGCACGAGAGGGAGCAUUCAUAAAUAACGUGCAAACAUUAAACUUAUAUUAUGUUUAUGUAUAUGUUGUAUACCUAUAAGUAAACUACGAAUAUUAUGAAACCCACUUUACUCGACAUUCAUGUGCCAACGUGCAUGUUCCUACGUACGUAAUAAACACGAAAGCUGUAGUCA